This 253-nucleotide ribosomal RNA is filed under the name uncultured bacterium. RNAcentral's name for it is "partial 16S ribosomal RNA". It matches the Rfam family "Bacterial small subunit ribosomal RNA", at positions 524 to 776 of the family's 1533-position model. The record is from RNAcentral.
UACGGAGGGUGCAAGCGUUAUCCGGAUUCACUGGGUUUAAAGGGUGCGUAGGUGGGCAGGUAAGUCAGUGGUGAAAUCUCUGGGCUUAACCCAGAAACUGCCGUUGAUACUAUCUGUCUUGAAUGUAGUGGAGGUGAGCGGAAUAUGUCAUGUAGCGGUGAAAUGCUUAGAUAUGACAUAGAACAUCUAUUGCGAAGGCAGCUCGCUACACUAUUAUUGACACUGAGGCACGAAAGCGUGGGGAUCAAACAGG